RNAcentral lists this ribosomal RNA (253 nucleotides) under uncultured bacterium. RNAcentral describes it as "partial 16S ribosomal RNA". It matches the Rfam family "Bacterial small subunit ribosomal RNA", at positions 524 to 776 of the family's 1533-position model. The record is from RNAcentral.
UACGAAGGGGGCUAGCGUUGCUCGGAAUCACUGGGCGUAAAGCGCACGUAGGCGGCUUUUUAAGUCAGGGGUGAAAUCCUGGAGCUCAACUCCAGAACUGCCUUUGAUACUGGGAAGCUUGAGUCCGGAAGAGGUGAGUGGAACUCCGAGUGUAGAGGUGAAAUUCGUAGAUAUUCGGAAGAACACCAGUGGCGAAGGCGGCUCACUGGUCCGGUACUGACGCUGAGGUGCGAAAGCUAGGGGAGCGAACGGG